GAGUAGGGCGGGACACGAGGAAUCCUGUCUGAAUCCGGGUCGACCACGAUCCAACCCUAAAUACUAAUACCAGAUCGAUAGUGCACAAGUACCGUGAGGGAAAGGUGAAAAGAACUGAGGUGAUCAGAGUGAAAUAGAACCUGAAACCAUUUGCUUACAAUCAUUCAGAGCACUAUGUAGCAAUACAGUGUGAUGGACUGCCUUUUGCAUAAUGAGCCUGCGAGUUGUGGUGUCUGGCAAGGUUAAGCAAACGCGAAGCCGUAGCGAAAGCGAGUCUGAAUAGGGCGCUUAGUCAGAUGCUGCAGACCCGAAACGAAGUGAUCUAUCCAUGAGCAAGUUGAAGCUAGUGUAAGAACUAGUGGAGGACUGAACCCAUAGGCGUUGAAAAGCCCCGGGAUGACUUGUGGAUAGGGGUGAAAGGCCAAUCAAACUUCGUGAUAGCUGGUUCUCUCCGAAAUAUAUUUAGGUAUAGCGUUGUGUCGUAAUAUAAGGGGGUAGAGCACUGAAUGGGCUAGGGCAUACACCAAUGUACCAAACC
RNAcentral lists this ribosomal RNA (538 nucleotides) under Proteus mirabilis. RNAcentral's name for it is "partial 23S ribosomal RNA". It matches the Rfam family "Bacterial large subunit ribosomal RNA", at positions 410 to 945 of the family's 2925-position model. The record is from RNAcentral. Lineage: Bacteria; Pseudomonadati; Pseudomonadota; Gammaproteobacteria; Enterobacterales; Morganellaceae.